GAUAGAGAAGCCGUAUCGAUCUUCUCCAGUAAGCUAAUUAGGUGAUCAGCUUCACCUGUCAUUGCAGACGCUCAGGUGAGACCAGCCCCACAUUAGUGGCAGUAGUCAGAGCGGUGCCUGAAGGUAGAGUUGGAACUAAUACAACAUUGGUUCUGUUGGCCUGGAUGGUUCAGCUUACUGGACGUGGACUGGACAGCGGACAUUGGACUUCCACUUUUUGGCUAGCCCUGCACAACUGAAUUCAAGAGCCAAGAAAGACAAAGAUGGCUUCCAGUUAUAGCUCCGUCCCAUCUGGUAAAGAUAAGAAAAGCAGCUCUGUACCCACAGGCUUUGACACCCAUUCCAGUCGCCAGGAACAGAUGAAACAGUUCUUCCAGGAACGUCAGAUGGAUAAUGAGAGAGCUAAGCCAACACCAGCAUCUUCUAAUAACGCUCAGUCCUCCACGAAUCCGCCCCCAAACUCUUCCGGGCAGGUAAAGAAGGUGCAGAACAUGAUGACAGAACUGGAACUAAUGUGAACUUCGUCUCUGUCCUUAAUCUUCAUCAUGGUCCUAACCUCCAAUACCUGUGACAAGAACCAUGUCCUUUUCCUUUCCAUCUGCCAGUGGACUUCAAUAAAACCUACAGGAGGAGGAUCUGAUCUGACUAAAAUGGAUAAAUCCUUCCUGUUCAAAAUAUCAAAAAAAGUCAAUAUGCAAGUGUAGUAAUAAGAUCACUGUCAUGUGUGCACUGUUUGAAUUGUCAAUGGAGCCAACGUAUGUUCAAGGAAUUCUCAAAGGCUGGUAUCUACCAGGAGUCUGUUUAUGGCGUUUACUUAACAAAACAUUCGCAGCCAUGCAAACUAUGCAGACAGUCUAUGUAUGCUUCCAAACACCAUUAGGGAUGAGAUUAUAUUGAUAAAAUAUACAUAGAUUAAACUUGGUGAAACUGAAAAAGCUGCAGCUGAGUAAGUAUCUAAUCCUGAUACAAACUCGACACACAGAAACACCAUUCGCAGUAACUGUCACUAAACGAAAUCUUAUUCAAUUUUUGUUCAAGGUGGGAUAGGCCACAAUGUGCUAAACUAUACAUUCUUUAAUUGCGUGUGUAUGCGUGUUAUAUUUUUGGAACAGAGGCUGGCUCCCUUUUGUGAUAAUAGUUUACCACUGUUGGAGGCAGCAUGGGAUGGCCAUUUGCCCAACACUGAACAAUCUCAUGGCUCUGCAAAACCAUUCAACUGAAUAAAAACAGUUGUGUUCCA
Long non-coding RNA from Haliotis rubra (blacklip abalone), 1240 nucleotides. RefSeq lists it as uncharacterized. The transcript has 2 exons. Lineage: Eukaryota; Metazoa; Mollusca; Gastropoda; Lepetellida; Haliotidae. The record is from RefSeq and is a predicted model, not a curated record.